RNAcentral lists this ribosomal RNA (263 nucleotides) under uncultured bacterium. Its description in RNAcentral is "partial 16S ribosomal RNA". It matches the Rfam family "Bacterial small subunit ribosomal RNA", at positions 92 to 353 of the family's 1533-position model. The record is from RNAcentral.
CGACCGGCACACGGGUGAGUAACACGUAUCCAACCUGCCGUCUACUCUUGGACAGCCUUCUGAAAGGAAGAUUAAUACAAGAUGGCAUCAUGAGUCCGCAUGUUCACAUGAUUAAAGGUAUUCCGGUAGACGAUGGGGAUGCGUUCCAUUAGAUAGUAGGCGGGGUAACGGCCCACCUAGUCUUCGAUGGAUAGGGGUUCUGAGAGGAAGGUCCCCCACAUUGGAACUGAGACACGGUCCAAACUCCUACGGGAGGCAGCAUG